This 623-nucleotide ribosomal RNA is filed under the name [Candida] sp. RNAcentral's name for it is "eukaryotic LSU rRNA". The stretch from base 94 to 623 matches the Rfam family "Eukaryotic large subunit ribosomal RNA", at positions 1 to 545 of the family's 3401-position model. Lineage: Eukaryota; Fungi; Ascomycota; Saccharomycetes; Saccharomycetales. The record is from RNAcentral.
CUGGUUUGGCGUUGAGUGAUACUCGGUUUACUUGAAAAACAUGAAAAGCAUAACUAUUAGGUUUUACCAACUCGUUAUACUAAUCUACAAGUUUGACCUCAAAUCAGGUAGGACUACCCGCUGAACUUAAGCAUAUCAAUAAGCGGAGGAAAAGAAACCAACCGGGAUUGCCUCAGUAACGGCGAGUGAAGCGGCAAAAGCUCAAAUUUGAAAUCUGCGUAAGCCGAGUUGUAAUUUGAAGAUGGCUACUUUGGUAAUGGCUCUUGUCUAUGUUCCUUGGAACAGGACGUCACAGAGGGUGAGAAUCCCGUGCGAUGAGAUGUCCAUUACCGUGUAAAGUGCUUUCGAAGAGUCGAGUUGUUUGGGAAUGCAGCUCUAAGUGGGUGGUAAAUUCCAUCUAAAGCUAAAUAUUGGCGAGAGACCGAUAGCGAACAAGUACAGUGAUGGAAAGAUGAAAAGAACUUUGAAAAGAGAGUGAAAAAGUACGUGAAAUUGUUGAAAGGGAAGGGCUUGAGAUCAGACUUGGUAUUUUGUAUGGCUUGCUUUCGGGCGGGUCCUCUGCAGUUUACUGGGCCAGCAUCGGUUUGGGUGGCAGGAUAAUAGCAUAGGAAUGUGGCUCUACU